Long non-coding RNA from Rhododendron vialii, 379 nucleotides. RefSeq lists it as uncharacterized. The record is from RefSeq and is a predicted model, not a curated record. The transcript has 3 exons. NCBI's taxonomy places the organism in Eukaryota, Viridiplantae, Streptophyta, Magnoliopsida, Ericales, Ericaceae.
CUAGGUGCAGGACCCAUUUCUCCGUCAACUCUGGGGCUGUAAAAUGUUGCAAUCGACAGCCUCUCCUUCCUAGAGUUCACUACUGCUCGAUGCUCGAUGCUGCGAUAAGCUCCAUUGGUGACAAUCUGCCGAAAAAGUCAUUAGUGGACUUUUCAAGCACUAUCCUGAAGAUAAACUCCAGCUUCCUGCCAAAUUUUGAUGCUUGAUUACAAGUGUGCAGUUUUACAAAAAAACCAGUCAUGAUAUGAUAGGUCAACAACAUCUUUCAAACAGGCUCUGAAACUGGCAUAUGUUUUGGGUUCAUAGAUACGUACCAUGUAUGGUAAAAUUAGGUACCUGGAAGAAUCCCCACUCUUUGGAUGCAGAGUCCAGCUUCUUC